UACGUAGGAUGCAAGCGUUGUUCGGAAUUACUGGGCGUAAAGAGUACGUAGGCGGUUUGAAAAGUCUGAUAUUAAAGACUGGGGCUUAACUCCAGGAGUGUAUCGGAAACUUUCAGACUAGAGGACAAUAGAGGAAGUCGGAAUUCUCAGUGUAGCGGUGAAAUGCGUAGAUAUUGGGAAGAACACCAGUGGCGAAAGCGGACUUCUGGUUGUUACUGACGCUGAGGUACGAAAGCGUGGGGAGCAAACGGG
This 252-nucleotide ribosomal RNA is filed under the name uncultured bacterium. Its description in RNAcentral is "partial 16S ribosomal RNA". It matches the Rfam family "Bacterial small subunit ribosomal RNA", at positions 524 to 776 of the family's 1533-position model. The record is from RNAcentral.